RNAcentral lists this ribosomal RNA (812 nucleotides) under uncultured bacterium. Its description in RNAcentral is "bacterial SSU rRNA". It matches the Rfam family "Bacterial small subunit ribosomal RNA", at positions 8 to 811 of the family's 1533-position model. The record is from RNAcentral.
AGAGUUUGAUCCUUUCUCGGGAUGAACGCUGGGGGCGUGCUUAACACAUGCAAGUCGAACGGAGCGCCGAGAGACGGACUAUUUCGGUAGGAAGCGUGCGGAGGCUUAGUGGCGGACGGGUGAGUAACGCGUGGAUAACCUGCCGCAUGCCGGGGGAUAACAGCUGGAAACAGGUGCUAAUACCGCAUAUGCCCGCAGUGCCGCAUGGCACGGCGGGGAAAACUCCGGUGGUAUGCGAUGGGUCCGCGUCUGAUUAGGGCAGUUGGCGGGGUAACGGGCCCCACCAAACCGACGAUCAGUAGCCGGCCUGAGAGGGCGGACGGCCACACUGGGACUGAGACACGGCCCAGACUCCUGCGGGAGGCAGCAGUGGGGGAAUAUUGCACAAUGGGGGAAACCCUGAUGCAGCGACGCCGCGUGAAGGAAGAAGUAUCUCGGUAUGUAAACUUCUAUCAGCAGGGAAGAAAACAGACGGUACCUGACUAAGAAGCCCCGGCUAACUACGUGCCAGCAGCCGCGGUAAUACGUAGGGGGCAAGCGUUAUCCGGAUUUACUGGGUGUAAAGGGGGCGCAGACGGCCAUGGCAAGCCCGGUGUGAAAGGCAGGGGCAUAACCCCUGGACUGCACUGGGAACUGUCAGGCUGGAGUGCCGGAGGGGUAAGCGGAAUUCCUGGUGUAGCGGUGAAAUGCGUAGAUAUCAGGAGGAACACCGGCGGCGAAGGCGGCUUACUGGACGGCAACUGACGUUGAGGCCCGAAAGCGUGGGGAGCGAACAGGAUUAGAUACCCUGGUAGUCCACGCCGUAAACGAUG